This 305-nucleotide ribosomal RNA is filed under the name uncultured bacterium. RNAcentral describes it as "bacterial SSU rRNA". It matches the Rfam family "Bacterial small subunit ribosomal RNA", at positions 335 to 658 of the family's 1533-position model. The record is from RNAcentral.
GUCCUACGGGGGGCAGCAGUGGGGAAUAUUGGGCAAUGGGCGCAAGCCUGACCCAGCAACGCCGCGUGGAGGAUGAAGGUUUUAGGAUUGUAAACUCCUUUUGUUAGAGAAGAUUAUGACGGUAUCUAACGAAUAAGCACCGGCUAACUCCGUGCCAGCAGCCGCGGUAAUACGGAGGGUGCAAGCGUUACUCGGAAUCACUGGGCGUAAAGAGUGCGUAGGCGGGGGAAUAAGUCAGAUGUGAAAUCCUGUAGCUUAACUACAGAACUGCAUUUGAAACUGUUACUCUGGAGUGUGGGAGAGUU